GACGAACGCUGGCGGCGUGCUUAACACAUGCAAGUCGAACGGAAGGGCCCUGCGUUUGUGGGGUGCUCGAUUGGCGAACGGGUGAGUAACACGUGAGUAACCUGCCCUUGUCUGUGGGAUAUCUUCAGGAAACUGGGGCUCAUACCGGAUAGGAUCUCCUGCUGCAUGGUGGGGGUUGGAGAGUUUCGGCGGUAGUGGAUGGACUCGCGGCUUAUCAGCUUGAUGGUGGGGUAGUGGCUUACCAAGGCUUUGACGGGUAGCCGGCCUGGGAGGGUGACCGGCCACAUUGGGACUGAGAUACGGCCCAGACUCCAACGGGAGGCAGCAGUGGGGAAUAUUGCACAAUGGGCGGAAGCCUGAUGCAGCAACGCCGCGUUCGGGAUGACGGCCUUCGGGUUGUAAACCGCUUUCGAAGGUGACGAAGCGUGCGUGACGGUAAUGGGUAAAGAAGCACCGGCUAACUACGUG
RNAcentral lists this ribosomal RNA (468 nucleotides) under uncultured bacterium. RNAcentral describes it as "partial 16S ribosomal RNA". It matches the Rfam family "Bacterial small subunit ribosomal RNA", at positions 28 to 507 of the family's 1533-position model. The record is from RNAcentral.